AUGGCGACGACGGCGAUCCCGUGCGUGACCCUGAACACGGGCCACGAGAUGCCGGUGCUGGGCUUCGGCACCGGCUCCUCGCGCGUGCCCGCCGACCUGCCGGACACCAUCGUGCACGCCGUCCGCCUCGGCUACCGCCACCUCGACACGGCCGCCAUGUACGGCACGGAGCCGGCCGUGGGCGCAGCCGUCGCCGAGGCCGUCCGCUCAGGCGCCGGCGGGAUCUCCUCGCGCGAGGACCUCUUCGUCACCUCCAAGCUCGGGAUCCCCAACGCGCGCCCGGGCCGCGUCGUCCCGGCGCUCCGCGAGUCCCUCGCCCGCCUCGGCCUCGACUACCUGGACCUCUUCCUCGUCCACUGGCCCGUCGCCGCCGACAACCCGGCGGACAAGGCCACGCUGGCGGAGUUCGACAUGGAGGGCGUGUGGCGCGGCAUGGAGGAGUGCCGCCGCCUGGGCCUGGCGCGCUCCGUCGGCGUCAGCAACUUCUCGGCCGCCAAGAUGGAGCGGCUGCUGGCGCUGGCCGCGGUGCCGCCGGCCGUGAACCAGGUGGAGCUGAACGUGGGGUGGAGGCAGGAGAAGGUGCGGGAGGUGUGCGCGAGGCACGGCGUGGUCGUCUCCGCCUACUCGCCGCUGGGCGCGUACGGCGCCUCCUGGGGCUCGGACGCCGUCAUGCACAGCGGCGUCAUGCACCACGUCGCCGCCGCCAAAGCCAAGACCGUGGCCCAGGUGGCGUUGAGGUGGGUGUACGAGCAGGGCGUGUGCUUUGUGGCCAGGAGCUUCAACAAGGAGAGGCUCAAGCAAAACAUGGACAUCUUUGUUGAUUGGGAGCUGAGCGAUGAGGACAAGGCCAUGAUCGCCACGAUACCGCAGAAAAGGGCGUGCCAGGGGGACUACUUUGUGUCGCCCGACGGACCUUACAAAUCACUCGAGGAGCUGUGGGACGGCGAGAUGUGA
RNAcentral lists this ribosomal RNA (954 nucleotides) under Triticum aestivum (bread wheat). RNAcentral's name for it is "partial small subunit ribosomal RNA". The record is from RNAcentral. Lineage: Eukaryota; Viridiplantae; Streptophyta; Magnoliopsida; Poales; Poaceae.